Molecule: ribosomal RNA, 388 nt
Filed under: uncultured bacterium
Lineage: Bacteria
Description: bacterial SSU rRNA
Rfam family: Bacterial small subunit ribosomal RNA
Source: RNAcentral
AUUGAACGCUGGCGGCAUGCCUUACACAUGCAAGUCGAACGGCAGCACGGGUGCUUGCACCUGGUGGCGAGUGGCGAACGGGUGAGUAAUAUAUCGGAACGUACCUUAUCGUGGGGGAUAACGCAGCGAAAGCUGCGCUAAUACCGCAUACGCCCUGAGGGGGAAAGCGGGGGACCGUAAGGCCUCGCGCGAUUAGAGCGGCCGAUAUCUGAUUAGCUUGUUGGUGGAGUAAAAGCCCACCAAGGCGACGAUCAGUAGCUGGUCUGAGAGGACGAUCAGCCACACUGGGACUGAGACACGGCCCAGACUCCUACGGGAGGCAGCAGUGGGGAAUUUUGGACAAUGGGGGCAACCCUGAUCCAGCAAUGCCGCGUGAGUGAAGAAGGCC